This 444-nucleotide ribosomal RNA is filed under the name uncultured bacterium. RNAcentral's name for it is "bacterial SSU rRNA". It matches the Rfam family "Bacterial small subunit ribosomal RNA", at positions 29 to 506 of the family's 1533-position model. The record is from RNAcentral.
AUGAACGCUGGCGGUGUGCCUUAAGCAUGCAAGUCGAACGGAGAGAUGAGUUUCGCAAGAAAUUUGUCAAUCAGUGGCGGACGGGUGAGUAUAAGCAGGGAACGCACCCAGAACUAUCGCAUAGCUCGUCGAAAGACGGGGUAAUACGGUAUGUGAUCGCAAGAUUAAAGUCGCAAGACGGUUCUGGAACGGCCCUGUUCCCAUCAGCUUGUUGGUAGGGUAAUGGCCUACCAAGGCUACGACGGGUAGGGGGUGUGAGAGCACGACCCCCCACAAUGGCACUGAGACACGGGCCAUACAUCUACGGAUGGCAGCAACUGGGAAUAUUCGGCAAUGGGCGAAAGCCUGACCGAGCGACACCGCGUGAGGGAUGAAGUAUUUCGGUAUGUAAACCUCUUUUAUAUAGUCGUCGAGGCUAUAAGAAUAAGCACCUACAAACUACGU